CCUACGGGAGGCAGCAGUGGGGAAUAUUGGGCAAUGGGCGCAAGCCUGACCCAGCAACGCCGCGUGAAGGAAGAAGGCUUUCGGGUUGUAAACUUCUUUUGACAGGGAAGAGCAGAAGACGGUACCUGUCGAAUAAGCCACGGCUAACUACGUGCCAGCAGCCGCGGUAAUACGUAGGUGGCAAGCGUUGUCCGGAUUUACUGGGUGGAAAGGGCGUGUAGGCGGGCUUACAAGUCAGAUGUGAAAUCCGGGGGCUCAACCCCCGAACUGCAUUUGAAACUGUUGGUCUUGAGUAUCGGAGAGGCAGGCGGAAUUCCUAGUGUAGCGGUGAAAUGCGUAGAUAUUAGGAGGAACACCAGUGGCGAAGGCGGCCUGCUGGACGACAACUGACGGUGAGGCGCGAAAGCGUGGGGAGCAAACAGGAUUAGAUACCCCUGUAGUC
Molecule: ribosomal RNA, 442 nt
Filed under: uncultured bacterium
Lineage: Bacteria
Description: partial 16S ribosomal RNA
Rfam family: Bacterial small subunit ribosomal RNA
Source: RNAcentral